AGAACGAACGCUGGCGGCAGGCCUAAUACAUGCAAGUCGAACGCCGUAGCAAUACGGAGUGGCAGACGGGUGAGUAACACGUGGGAACGUGCCCAAAGGUACGGAACAACUCCGGGAAACUGGAGCUAAUACCGUAUGUGCCCGAGAGGGGAAAGAUUUAUCGCCUUUGGAUCGGCCCGCGUCUGAUUAGCUAGUUGGCGGGGUAAUGGCCCACCAAGGCGACGAUCAGUAGCUGGUCUGAGAGGAUGACCAGCCACACUGGGACUGAGACACGGCCCAGACUCCUACGGGAGGCAGCAGUGGGGAAUAUUGGACAAUGGGCGCAAGCCUGAUCCAGCCACGCCGCGUGAGUGAUGAAGGCCUUCGGGUCGUAAGCUCUGUGGGAGGGACGACAGCGCCGUGAGAGCGGUGAUGACGGUACCUCCUUAGCAGCACCGGCUAACUUCGUGCCAGCAGCCGC
Molecule: ribosomal RNA, 460 nt
Filed under: uncultured bacterium
Lineage: Bacteria
Description: SSU rRNA
Rfam family: Bacterial small subunit ribosomal RNA
Source: RNAcentral